CGAAGGUAUUGAAUAAGGCUUUAAAUGGGUGCUAAGAGAAUGGUUUAACAAGGAGAGACUUUCUUUUUUUUUAUAUUAGAAGUUAAUUUGAAAAUGAAAAAGUUUUUAUAAAUUUUUGGGACAAGAAGACCCUAUGAAUUUUUUUAAAAUAAUUUAUAUUUUAAUUAAGAUUAUUAGAAAUUUAUUUUUUAGUUAUGACCGGGGUGAUUUUUAAAGAUUAUUAAUCUUUAAAAUUUUUUAAUAAAAAAGUUCCAUUAGUAGUGAUUUUUUGAUAAAAAUACUCUAGGGAUAACAGCGUUAUUAUUUUGGAUAGUUCAUAUAGAUAAAAUAGUUUGCGACCUCGAUGUUGGAUUAGGAUUCUUUUAUGAUGAAGAAGUUAUAAGGGAGAAGUUUGCUCAACUUUUAAAGUCCUACUUGAUCUGAGUUCAGCCCGGG
RNAcentral lists this ribosomal RNA (435 nucleotides) under Ornithodoros coriaceus. RNAcentral's name for it is "partial 16S ribosomal RNA". The stretch from base 288 to 435 matches the Rfam family "Bacterial large subunit ribosomal RNA", at positions 2473 to 2620 of the family's 2925-position model. The record is from RNAcentral. Lineage: Eukaryota; Metazoa; Arthropoda; Arachnida; Ixodida; Argasidae.